CUGGCGCUGCUAUACUGCAGUCGACGAAACUUUCUUACACCGAAUGCUUGCAUUCACCGUAAGAAGUUGAGUGGCGGACGGGUGAGUAACACGUGGGUAACCUGCCUAAAAGAAGGGGAUAACACUUGGAAACAGGUGCUAAUACCGUAUAUCUCUAAGGAUCGCAUGAUCCUUAGAUGAAAGAUGGUUCUGCUAUCGCUUUUAGAUGGACCCGCGGCGUAUUAACUAGUUGGUGGGGUAACGGCCUACCAAGGUGAUGAUACGUAGCCGAACUGAGAGGUUGAUCGGCCACAUUGGGACUGAGACACGGCCCAAACUCCUACGGGAGGCAGCAGUAGGGAAUCUUCCACAAUGGACGCAAGUCUGAUGGAGCAACGCCGCGUGAGUGAAGAAGGUCUUCGGAUCGUAAAACUCUGUUGUUAGAGAAGAACACGAGUGAGAGUAACUGUUCAUUCGAUGACGGUAUCUAACCAGCAAGUCACGGCUAACUACGUGCCAGCAGCCGCGGUAAUACGUAGGUGGCAAGCGUUGUCCGGAUUUAUUGGGCGUAAAGGGAACGCAGGCGGUCUUUUAAGUCUGAUGUGAAAGCCUUCGGCUUAACCGGAGUAGUGCAUUGGAAACUGGAAGACUUGAGUGCAGAAGAGGAGAGUGGAACUCCAUGUGUAGCGGUGAAAUGCGUAGAUAUAUGGAAGAACACCAGUGGCGAAAGCGGCUCUCUGGUCUGUAACUGACGCUGAGGUUCGAAAGCGUGGGUAGCAAACAGGAUUAGAUACCCUGGUAGUCCACGCCGUAAACGAUGAAUGCUAGGUGUUGGAGGGUUUCCGCCCUUCAGUGCCGCAGCUAACGCAAUAAGCAUUCCGCCUGGGGAGUACGACCGCAAGGUUGAAACUCAAAGGAAUUGACGGGGGCCCGCACAAGCGGUGGAGCAUGUGGUUAAUUCGAACAACGCGAAGAACCUUACCAGGUCUUGACUCCUUUGACCCCUAAGAGAUU
Molecule: ribosomal RNA, 993 nt
Filed under: Lactobacillus sp.
Lineage: Bacteria; Bacillati; Bacillota; Bacilli; Lactobacillales; Lactobacillaceae
Description: bacterial SSU rRNA
Rfam family: Bacterial small subunit ribosomal RNA
Source: RNAcentral